GCGCGAGUGGCGGAAUUGGUAGACGCGAGAGACUUAAAAUCUCUUGACCAAAGUCGUGCGGGUUCGAUUCCCGCCUUGCGCACCA
Molecule: transfer RNA, 85 nt
Filed under: TM7 phylum sp. oral taxon 346
Lineage: Bacteria; Candidatus Saccharimonadota
Description: tRNA-Leu
Rfam family: tRNA
About the family: Transfer RNA (tRNA) molecules are approximately 80 nucleotides in length. Their secondary structure includes four short double-helical elements and three loops (D, anti-codon, and T loops).
Source: RNAcentral